Long non-coding RNA from Rhinopithecus roxellana (golden snub-nosed monkey), 1325 nucleotides. RefSeq lists it as uncharacterized. NCBI's taxonomy places the organism in Eukaryota, Metazoa, Chordata, Mammalia, Primates, Cercopithecidae. The record is from RefSeq and is a predicted model, not a curated record. The transcript has 3 exons.
UGUACUAGUGGAGACACGAACGGUCUCCUCAUCCCGCGAGUGGAUCGGCCUCCACCCUAGACCGAGGAGAGAAUGGCUCUGCCUGGACCGACCCCCGCGCCGGGCGGACCGGAUCUUCGGCCUAAAGCGUCCACCUGUCUGGAAGCGGCCACCACCAAGCUUUUAUUAAUAUAUCCGUUCCCGCCGGGUUGGCUAUACAGAUGCGAAUCAACUCCGGGGGUGGGGUGAGGAGCAAGGCCGCGGAGCGGUGAUUGCUUCCUGGACGAGUUGCGUAGGGCGGGACAAAGUCCUGCCCUGAGCUCUGAUUGGUCACCGCGAGACUGCCUACCUAAGCUCUUCCAGGGUACCGAGGUUUUCCGGAAUCACUAAGAGGCUACAAGCCGGGUCCUUCGGCUCCGCGAUCCCAUUGGCUGCUGUUUCGGCGCAAGCGCUUUGGCUCCUGGGUUGGCGUUCAGGGUUGCCGAGGCAGGGCUUUGGCUACUGGAGACCGUAGGUUCGAAUCCCGUCUGGGAACUUCAACUUGUGCACCUGUAAAAGAAGCUGGCAUUAUUGGCUUGUACUCAAGGGCUGGCACAGAGUGUGUCGGGGUGCGGACGCCCCAGCCACGCCCAUCAUCUGUGCGGAAGAUGCAGAGGUCAUAUCGGAUGCCUUUCUGUACCACGCGAUUCGGGCAGUCAUAGCCACAGCGGCAGCGGGAGUUGCACUCGUAGAUGGGCAGCCCGGCUCGAAGCCGCACCUGGCCCUGGUCAUUGUAGGCAAACUUGUGCAGUGACGCCCCCGGGCAGCAGCCUCCAGUGGGUGCCCACAGACAGUCCUGGCACUCGCAGCCCACAGCCACCUGGUUGAGGGUGAUGCCCUCACCAACACGGUACUCAUUGAUGUACACGAAGGCCCGCGGGGGGCCGUCCAGGUCCACCUCAUUCUCUACAGUGAUGCGUCCCAGAUGGCUGCGCUUGGCAUUGAGCUCCUGCUCCCAGCGACGGAGUGCCCGCCUCUGCUUGGCCUUCUGCACCAGGUAGUUGGCCAAGCUUGGGUCCAGGUGCCGGGGGGUCUUUGACCGGUGGUGCCGCCGGAGCAGCUCCCUCUCUAAGUCCUUGUGGAACUGCUUGAGGAUACGCACACACUUGAGAUUCUGCCGUGGCUCCCAGGUGCUCUCUGAGUCUGGAUAUCCGCGCCAUUUCACCAGGGUCAGAGGAGAAAAUUCCCUUUGGAAACAGAUGUGGGCAGUUGGGGACAAGAGGGCAGGACACUAACUUCCUUGUGACCUGUCCCCUCCCAGAGCAUGGUCACCCCAGACUCACGCGGAUCUUCUUGUAAUCGCACAG